RNAcentral lists this ribosomal RNA (460 nucleotides) under uncultured bacterium. RNAcentral's name for it is "partial 16S ribosomal RNA". It matches the Rfam family "Bacterial small subunit ribosomal RNA", at positions 338 to 795 of the family's 1533-position model. The record is from RNAcentral.
CCUACGGGGGGCAGCAGUGAGGAAUAUUGGUCAAUGGGCGCAAGCCUGAACCAGCCAAGUCGCGUGAGGGAAGACGGCCCUACGGGUUGUAAACCUCUUUUGCCGGGGAGCAAGCCUGAGCACGUGUGCCCAGGCGGAGAGUACCCGGAGAAAAAGCAUCGGCUAACUCCGUGCCAGCAGCCGCGGUAAUACGGAGGAUGCGAGCGUUAUCCGGAUUUAUUGGGUUUAAAGGGUGCGUAGGCGGGCAUUUAAGCCGGCGGUCAAAUGUCGGGGCUCAACCCCGGCCUGCCGUCGGAACUGGGUGCCUUGAGUGGGCGAGAAGUAUGCGGAAUGCGUGGUGUAGCGGUGAAAUGCAUAGAUAUCACGCAGAACCCCGAUUGCGAAGGCAGCAUACCGGCGCCCUACUGACGCUGAGGCACGAAAGUGCGGGUAUCGAACAGGAUUAGAUACCCCGGUAGUC